GUUCGCUGCCGCAUAGGCAGCUCAGAAA
Molecule: non-coding RNA, 28 nt
Organism: Salinisphaera hydrothermalis C41B8
Lineage: Bacteria; Pseudomonadati; Pseudomonadota; Gammaproteobacteria; Salinisphaerales; Salinisphaeraceae
Source: Rfam